Unclassified non-coding RNA from Cavia porcellus (domestic guinea pig), 325 nucleotides. Its record names the gene 7SK. It matches the Rfam family "7SK RNA". Rfam says of the family: 7SK was discovered as an abundant small nuclear RNA in the mid-70s but a possible function has only recently been suggested. Two independent studies have found that 7SK RNA binds the CDK9/cyclin T complex (known as elongation factor P-TEFb). The record is from Ensembl. NCBI's taxonomy places the organism in Eukaryota, Metazoa, Chordata, Mammalia, Rodentia, Caviidae.
AGAUUUGAGGGCGAUCUGGCUGAGACAUCUGUCACCCCAUUGAUCGCCAGGGUUGAUUCGGCUGAUCUGGCUGGCUAGGCGGGUGUCCCCUUCCUCCCUCAACGAUCCAUGUGCGUCCCUCCCGAAGCUGCGCGCUCGGUCGAAGAGGACGACCACCCCCGAUAGAGGAGGACCGUUCCUCGGUCCAGGGUAUACAAGUAGCUGCGCUCCCCUGCUAGAACCUCCAAACAAGCUCUCAACGUUCCCCUAAUUAUUAACCUAGAUCGUAGGAGACAUGCAUUAUAAAUAUAUCUUCAUGAAAAUUCUCAGAAAGCAUCUUUUCUAA